Molecule: ribosomal RNA, 387 nt
Filed under: uncultured bacterium
Lineage: Bacteria
Description: bacterial SSU rRNA
Rfam family: Bacterial small subunit ribosomal RNA
Source: RNAcentral
GACGAACGCUGGCGGCGUGCUUAACACAUGCAAGUCGAACGGAAAGGCCCCUUUUGGGGGUGCUCGAGUGGCGAACGGGUGAGUAACACGUGGGUGAUCUGCCCUGCACUUUGGGAUAAGCCUGGGAAACUGGGUCUAAUACCGGAUAGGACCGCAUGCUGCAUGGUGUGUGGUGGAAAGCUUUUGCGGUGUGGGAUGGGCCCGCGGCCUAUCAGCUUGUUGGUGGGGUGANGGCCUACCAAGGCGACGACGGGUAGCCGGCCUGAGAGGGUGUCCGGCCACACUGGGACUGAGAUACGGCCCAGACUCCUACGGGAGGCAGCAGUGGGGAAUAUUGCGCAAUGGGCGAAAGCCUGACGCAGCGACGCCGCGUGAGGGACGAAGGCC